AUACAGCAGUAGCCACGGGAAUACGGAGGGAGCUAGCGUUGUUCGGAAUUACUGGGCGUAAAGCGCGCGUAGGCGGUUACUCAAGUCAGAGGUGAAAGCCCGGGGCUCAACCCCAGAACUGCCUUUGAAACUAGGUGACUAGAAUCUUGGAGAGGUCAGUGGAAUUCCGAGUGUAGAGGUGAAAUUCGUAGAUAUUCGGAAGAACACCAGUGGCGAAGGCGACUGACUGGACAAGUAUUGACGCUGAGGUGCGAAAGCGUGGGGAGCAAACAGGAUUAGAUACCCCAGUAGUCCCUGUCUCUUAUAC
RNAcentral lists this ribosomal RNA (307 nucleotides) under uncultured bacterium. RNAcentral describes it as "partial 16S ribosomal RNA". It matches the Rfam family "Bacterial small subunit ribosomal RNA", at positions 503 to 807 of the family's 1533-position model. The record is from RNAcentral.